GCCUUCGAUGUAACUCUUAUGUUGCAUGAUUGCAGCCCUAUAAGUCUCUGUUCGUACACGAUCUUUGAUCAUCUCUUCAUGGAUACCAACGUGAGCGUAGGAAUGAAAGUAUGCCAACAAGGAGUGACCUUCUGCUCACCCUCCCGCUGCUGCUGUUCUCCGGAAACCCUAAAACCAUCUCUGGAUUCGCGAGAGCGACCGCCACGUGCCCCUCUUCUGGCUCGUUCCCGGUGACUAGCCCCAACUCGUUGCGGCUGG
Molecule: unclassified non-coding RNA, 258 nt
Filed under: Hevea brasiliensis (rubber tree)
Lineage: Eukaryota; Viridiplantae; Streptophyta; Magnoliopsida; Malpighiales; Euphorbiaceae
Source: RNAcentral